CAGCCGCCGCGGGAAUACGAAGGGGGCUAGCGUUGUUCGGAUUUACUGGGCGUAAAGGGCGCGUAGGCGGACUGAUAAGUCAGGGGUGAAAUCCCAAGGCUCAACCUUGGAACUGCCUUUGAUACUGUUUGUCUUGAGUUCGAGAGAGGUAAGUGGAACUGCGAGUGUAGAGGUGAAAUUCGUAGAUAUUCGCAAGAACACCAGUGGCGAAGGCGGCUUACUGGCUCGAAACUGACGCUGAGGUGCGAAAGUGUGGGGAGCAAACAGGAUUAGAUACCCCAGUAGUCCCUGUCUCUUAUAA
This 301-nucleotide ribosomal RNA is filed under the name uncultured bacterium. Its description in RNAcentral is "partial 16S ribosomal RNA". It matches the Rfam family "Bacterial small subunit ribosomal RNA", at positions 509 to 809 of the family's 1533-position model. The record is from RNAcentral.